AACCGAACCAAUAGAAUGUGUAUUUAGGUAUAUAGAGAGAUUUAUUUUAAGGAAUUGGCUCAUGUGAUUAUGGAGGCUGGCAAGUCCAACGUCUGCAGGGUGAACCAGCAGGCUGAAGACUCAGAGAGGAGCCAAUCCUGCAGUCAAGUCUGAAGACUGUCUGCUACCAAAGUCCCUCUUGCUCGGGAGAAGACACACGUGGUUGAAGCCGGGCCCUUCGUUUGAAGAAAUGACAAUAGAUGUUUGCCUGGAGUUUUAGCGUUUACAAAGUGAUCCACUAACACCGUCUCAUGGAAUCUUCACAUCAACGGGUAUGGUGGCUGGCUUAUGCCUGUGGUCCCAGCUACUCAGGAGGCUGAAGCAGGAGGAUUGCUGGAGCCCAGGGGUUUGAGGCUGCAGUGAGCUAUGAUUGUGCCAUUGCACUUCAGCCUGGGCCACAGAGUGAGAACCCCACUCUAAAAACAAGAAGAUGAACAAGAAGAAGGAGAAGAAGAAGAAGGAGAAGGAGAAGGAGAAGGAGGGGAAGGGGAAGGGGAAGGAGAAGGAGAAGGAGGGGAAGGGGAAGGGGAAAGGGAAGGAAAUGGAGAAAGGAAGAAGAAAAAGGAAGAAGAAGAGGAAGAGGAAAAGGAGGAAGAGAAACAAGAAGGAGAAGAAGAAGAAGAAGGAGGAGGAGGAGGAGGAGGAGGAAAUUUGGACACAGGUGCUCACAGGGAGAAGAAGGCCAUGUGGAGACAGACACAGAGGGAAGAAGAUGUGAGACAGAUGAGGGCAAUGCUGCUAACAGCCAAGGACCUCCUGGGGCUACUACACACUGGAGGAGGCGAGAAAGGGUCCUCCCUUCAGGGCUUUGGAGGGAGCACCGUCCAGCUCACACCUUGAUUUUAGACUUCCAGCCUCCGGAGUCGAGAGGGAAUGCACCGGUGUUGUUUAAGCCACCCUGCUGUGGUAUCUGUUAUGGCGGCACAGGCAGAAAUAGGGACACAAGUGCAGGUUCAGGGCAAGGUGUGCGAGCACACUCAGUCCCUGGCCUCGGAGUCUCUCUGGAUGGCUUCUUGCCUAGGGUGACUGACAGAGGGAUGGAUGAUAUGAAAAGGCAGCUGUUCUCCUCCCGACCUAACCCCAAUUCUUACUCCAUGGGUUCAUGACAGCCCAUUCUGCUGGAGACUGUGUCUUAAAACUUUCUCCCCUAGUUUCUCUCAAGUACCCCUCGUGAGCUGUGAUUUCACUGGGCUUUCAACUCUUAGGCCAUUUUCUUUGUGCCUUUCUAUCAAAGCUUUAUAUCAACUCAAACCAUGUCUAUAGUAGUUUUCCAUUUUCCUUUUUUUCUUUUUUAAUGAUUGUAAUUUUUUCAAAUGGAUUAUGUAUUUUUAUAUCUUUUUUCUUUUGAAUUUACUUCUUUUUUAAGAGCCAUUUUUUGUUUGGAGCAAAAUUGAGCAGAAAGUCCGGGGAGUUCCUCGCUGCUCCCACACACACAGCCUCCCCGCUGUCGAUAUCUGGCACCGGAGGGGUCUGACCCUUACAAGUGAGGAGCCUAUGUUGAUGCACCAUUAUCACCCAAAGCUCAUAGUUUACACGAGGGCCCACUCUUGCUGUGGAACCACGUUCCUUUUCCCCACGUGUUUUUGCAUCCCUUUUCUUUUUUCUACCUUCCCAAACCCUGUGAUGUUCGGAAGAGCUAUGAUCCCUAUUCUAUAGAGAGGACACUCAAGGAAGCAGCUGAUAAGUAGAACCAGGACUCAAACCCAGAUCUCAUAACUCUAAAUCCAGCAGUGGUAGUUUUUUCUCUUUAAUACAAUUAUGACACUCCCUUUUGAACUUGUGAUAUAUACCUGCCGCUAACACACACACACACACACACACACACACACACACACACACACACACCUUGAGAGGCUGUUGCCAAUUGUUCUUUAGGCAUCACACACAGCCCCGGCACACAGCAGGGGCUUAAUAGAUAUUCCUUACAUCGAAGUUGAAAGUCUUGUCUCAACAUUCUGCUCUCACACACUCGCCUACAAACUCAUCAAAUAAUAGAGCAUCGAUUCUCAUUCUCUCCCUCUCCCUUCCUUUUAAAUCUCCUGGGGCUUAGAAUCCAUAAUUUGUGGAAUUCCCGCAUUCCCACAGGUGUCCUGGGAGGUGGGCAGGGCCAACACUUCAGCAGCUUCUGCAACGCAGCAGACUCCUGGGCCUGAUGUGCUAGCUGCCCAUUUGCUAUGGGCCUUCGCUCCCCAGAAGCACCUCUCUGGGUAUGGGGCAAACACCCCUCAUUGCUGCAAUGCAGCCUCUGCUGGAGUGAAACAGGAUGCUUGAUUUCUAUUGCGUCAGUAGCAACACUGCCCAGAGGUCUAAGAGAGGAAGUCAGAGCAAAGCCCAUCAAAGCCCACCCAGAACAGCAGGGAAAUUCCAAGUCAUCGGUUUCUAGUUCUCCCCAUGCGUGUGGUGGCCCUGCUUUGUGGUGAGCCUCCAGGACUGUCCUGCUGUGCCUCUGAAGCACCUGCUCACAGAAGGGUGACCCAUUGAGGCAUGCAGUGGGUUGAUACAAAUGUCAACUCCAGCCCCUGUCAUCAGCUAAAGGUCAGCAAAUGAGUUCUCUGGCAUUUGGGGUCUGCAGGAGCAAGUGAGUACUGUGAACACCUGCAGUGUGGAGACCACGUCCAUCUAAUUGGCGUCUAUGGGGCCCAGUGCCAGGCUGGGCCCAAGUGUCGAUUCAGGAAGGGUGUCUCAGGAUGCAGAAGCCGCCUGAUGCGUGCAGAGGUGGAUAGGCCUUCAGCCUGCUCUCCUCCUCUGUCCUGCAGACCGGGUGAGUUAUGUUAGCCUCUGCUUUCCCUUCCUGUCCUGAGCACAGCAAUCGGGACAACCACACAUCCUCUGAGAGAUGAUAAAAAUAAUGAGACCAAGAAGACUGCACCCAAAUCGAUGUUUUGUCUUUGCGCAGACCCCAUAGUGUGUCUUGUGCUGCAGAGGGAAGCACCUGGCAUCUUGGGGCCUCUUCUCUGCCCCCUCCCCACUUUGGGGAGGGGUUUUGUCGGGGGCAGCCUCCAUCCUUUGGAAUCCUGUCUGUGCUCUGAUUCUCCCUGAUGGUCUUUAUAGCUUUGCAUUAUUUUGCUUUCAGAGAACAGAGAAAUGUGAAUAAGAACAGAAACAUGGCACCGGUGUCCUCAGCUUCUUCCCCACCUUCACAGAACUGCUGCUGCAAACUAGUAGUUUUGAGAAAUGAUGAAAAACCUGUGGUUUUCCCCAAAUUCCAAGAAUCAGAGGCAGAUUCUAGGAGGGUGAAGAUGGUGUGGGCUCAAAAAUGGUCAUGCGGCACAUCUUCUGAGGAGAUAUGCUGCCCAUUAAAAGGGCAAAACAGGAGUUGGUGUGUGGGCAGUUCCCGCAUCACACAUAAAGGCUUCACCAGUGAGGCUCAGCCCAGGAACUGCCUGCCCUUGAGGCUGGGGGCUCACAAAGAAAGCUUUCCCCCAGCUUCUGAUGUCCAUGAAGAGCAGAGAGCAUGCUGGUGGUGAUUCAUAACCCCCUGAAAUGUAUCCUCAGUUUGCCAGAGAAAAAUUUCUAGGACCCACCUAAUAAGUUCAUUCAUUGGUUCCCAGACUCGGCAGGUUUUACCAGAUCCCUCACGACUGGUCCCAGCUUCUCUCCCAGCACAUUACUUGAAGGUACACAAAUAGUCCACUGUGCUUUGUUUCCUCUGUUUCUUCCAAUUCUCUCUUCUGCUUGACCAGCUUGUACUUGAAGAUCUAGGUUUUGGGAGAUUCCCGGGAUUGCUGCCAGGCACUGCCUGCCCCCAUCUGAGUAAGGGGUGUAAACCCCAAGAGUAUCUGAGACAAGUGUCAGUUAAUCUAGGAUUGUAUAUUGCCAAGGUUAAGAACAUGCCCAGGACACAGCCUUGGGAGGUCCUGACCACAUGUGCCCAAGGUAGUGGGCCUACAACUUGGUUUUAUACAUUUUAGGGAGACAUAAGCCAUCAAUCAAUACAUGUAACAUGUACAUUGUUUUGGUCUGGAAAGUUGGGACAACCGGAAGGGGGAGCUUCCAGGUCACAGUCAGAUUCAAAGACUUCCUGACUGGCAGUUGAUUGAGUUAUUAUCUAAAGACCUGGAAUCAAGAGAAAGGAAUGUCUGGGUGAUGGUAAGGGGUUGUAGAGAUUAAGGUUUUGUCAUGCCGAUGAAGCCUCCAGGUAACAGGCUUCAGAGAGAAUAGGUCAUAAAUGUUUCUACUCAGACUUAAAGAGGCUGUUCUAUCAGUCAUUCCUAAAGGAAGGAGGGUAUCAAGAGGCUGUUCUAUCAGUAAUUCCUAAAGGAAGGAGGGUAUCAAGACGCACGUCUGGCUCCCCCUUCCCCUCAUGACCUGAACUAGUUUUAUAGGUUAACUUUGGAAUGCCUUGGCUGAGGGGCCAUGCAUUCAGAUGGUUGGGGGCCUUAGAAUUUUCUUUUUGGUUUACAGGGACUUGCACUCACAGUGGCCUGGCUGUCUGUCUGUCUGUCUAACCUGGCAUUAUGCACACACUUUGAGUUAUCUUAUUCCUGCUCUGUGUUCUCAUUGCAUGAGAUCCUUGGGUGCAGGAACUACGUCUCCUCCUUGUUCUCCAGAGUACAAAUUUUUCUUUCAAUAACUGUGCACUGAGCUCCAAUUUUGUUCCAAUGGCUGUGCUAAGCUCUGUAGAUGAAGUCGAAAAAAAUAAAGAAGUAAAGACA
RNAcentral lists this long non-coding RNA (4694 nucleotides) under Homo sapiens (human). RNAcentral describes it as "long non-coding RNA NONHSAT200792.1". The record is from RNAcentral. Lineage: Eukaryota; Metazoa; Chordata; Mammalia; Primates; Hominidae.